UGGAUGGAUAGCUCAGUUGGUAGAGCAGAGGGCUGAAAAUCCUCGUGUCGUAGGUUCGAUCCCUACUCCGUCCACCAU
Molecule: transfer RNA, 78 nt
Filed under: Bacillus phage vB_BspM_MarvelLand
Lineage: Duplodnaviria; Heunggongvirae; Uroviricota; Caudoviricetes; Herelleviridae
Description: tRNA-Phe
Rfam family: tRNA
About the family: Transfer RNA (tRNA) molecules are approximately 80 nucleotides in length. Their secondary structure includes four short double-helical elements and three loops (D, anti-codon, and T loops).
Source: RNAcentral